This is a non-coding RNA of Pan troglodytes (chimpanzee), 294 nucleotides long. The record is from Rfam. NCBI's taxonomy places the organism in Eukaryota, Metazoa, Chordata, Mammalia, Primates, Hominidae.
GCUGGGCAUGGUGGUGCGCACCUGUAAUCCUAGCUACUCUGGAGGUUGAGGCAGGAGAAUCGCUUGAGCCCGGGAAGUGGAAAUUGCAGUGAGCCGAGAUUGCGCCACUGCACUCCAGCCUGGAUGGCAGAGUGAGACUCUGUCUCGAAAAAAAAAAAAGGGUGUGUGUAUUUCCUUUUUCUUUUUUUUCGAGACUGAGUUUCACUCUUGGGUUGCCCAGGCUGGAGUGCAGUGGCGCAGUCUGGGCUCACUGCAACCUCCGCCUCCCGGGUUCAAGCAAUUCUCCUGCCUCAG